AUUCAAUUCAACCUCUCUUUCUUUUUCUUGUUUCUUGCUUUAUUUCCCUUCUCUUUCAACGUCUUCUUUUCUUGGAGAAGGGGGUUUCUUUUUUUCUUGUUUGGUCUGCUCUCUUCUCUACAAUGGCUACUUCAAGAUGGAUCAGGCCUGAGGUUUUUCCGCUCUUUGCAGCUGUUGGGGUAGCUGUUGGCAUUUGUGGGAUGCAACUUGUUAGGAAUAUCUGCACCAACCCAGAAGUCAGGGUGACCAAAGAGAACAGGGCAGCAGGAGUGCUUGAGAACUUUGCAGAGGGUGAGAAAUAUGCAGAACAUACCUUAAGGAAGUUUGUCCGCAAGAGGCCUCCUCAGAUCAUGCCAUCAGUCAAUGGCUUCUUCUCAGAACCUGAUCUUCCAAGUUCUAACUAGAAAUUCACUUCAACGACUGAAGUCAGGCUUUCAUAUUUUGUGCUUGUGAUUUUGAAGGAAAUAGGACAUAUUAUUAUUUUCUUUUUUCCAUUCGAGAGCAUGAAGCAAUUGCAGAUUGCAAGUUGAAGUUUUUGUCAUAUGACCAAACAGUAUUGAAUAAUAAUAAAGUUCUCUGUUACAAUUUCUAAAACUUCAACUUGCAAUCUGCAAUUGCU
This 619-nucleotide unclassified non-coding RNA is filed under the name Hevea brasiliensis (rubber tree). The record is from RNAcentral. Lineage: Eukaryota; Viridiplantae; Streptophyta; Magnoliopsida; Malpighiales; Euphorbiaceae.